UACAGAGGGUGCGAGCGUUGUCCGGAAUCACUGGGCGUAAAGGGCGCGUAGGCGGCGGCGUAAGCGUGUGGUGAAAGCUCGGGGCUCAACUCCGAGUCGGCCAUGCGAACUGCGUCGCUGGAGCACACUAGAGGCGGAUGGAAUUCCGGGUGUAGCGGUGGAAUGCGUAGAGAUCGUAAGGAAGACCAGUGGCGAAGGCGGGUCUCUGGACAGUUCCUGACACUGAGGCACGAAGGCCAGGGGAGCAAACGGG
This 253-nucleotide ribosomal RNA is filed under the name uncultured prokaryote. RNAcentral's name for it is "partial 16S ribosomal RNA". It matches the Rfam family "Bacterial small subunit ribosomal RNA", at positions 524 to 776 of the family's 1533-position model. The record is from RNAcentral.